AAUAUUUACCGUCUCCGAGCCGAUCCGCCUAAGGGUUUAAGACCUAAGGGGUAUCGGCCGAUCAGGGCGUGGCUGGAAACGGCCAGCGCCUCCCGUGUUUGGAAAGGAGAUAAAGGUCGCUUUUA
RNAcentral lists this non-coding RNA (125 nucleotides) under Deltaproteobacteria bacterium. RNAcentral describes it as "MoCo sequence". It matches the Rfam family "Molybdenum/Tungsten riboswitch aptamer (Moco RNA motif)". The record is from RNAcentral. Lineage: Bacteria; Pseudomonadati; Myxococcota; Myxococcia.